AUGCCGCGGUGAAUACGUUCCCGGGCCUUGUACACACCGCCCGUCACACCACGAGAGCUUGCAACACCCGAAGUCGGUGCGGUAACCCGCAAGGGAGCCAGCCGCCGAAGGUGGGGCAAGUGAUUGGGGUGAAGUCGUAACAAGGUAGCCGUACCGGAAGGUGCGGCUGGAUCACCUCCUUUCU
This 184-nucleotide ribosomal RNA is filed under the name Geobacillus kaustophilus. RNAcentral's name for it is "partial 16S ribosomal RNA". It matches the Rfam family "Bacterial small subunit ribosomal RNA", at positions 1354 to 1533 of the family's 1533-position model. Lineage: Bacteria; Bacillati; Bacillota; Bacilli; Caryophanales; Anoxybacillaceae. The record is from RNAcentral.